ACAGUCUUCAGCUUCCCAUCCUUCACUAACUGAACUAGAUAUUCCAGGCCCUCACGCUUGACUGUUACGAAAAAUGGCACCAGCUGCUUCUUUGAAAAGGUAAGUUUCUUCAGGGCGAAAGUCGUCAAUGAACUCAGACUAGGCGUCAAAUCAACUACCUUUCCAUUUUCAGUCAAAUUAGGGUCAAAAGUUGACCAUGGUAUUCCGGUUGUACAAUGUAUCACUGCAUCGUAUUUCCUACCAGAUGGACUUGUUAGAGCUGCUCCCUCUGGAGUCCUGUAGUCAAGAACCUCAUCAGCACCUAAACUCUUAACAAAGUCAAUGUUGCGAGCCCCGCAAGUGGCUGUCACAUGUGUGUUCCCGAGUUUUGCUAGUUGAACAGCAUAGUGACCGACACCGCCUGAUGCAGCAGUUAUUAAAAUGUUCUUGGGCUGUCCACUCCCAUCAAGCUUGACUCCUGCAACUUGAGUGAGGGCAUCAUGAGCAGUGAGACCAGCAAUAGGUAAGGCUGCAGCUUCAGCAGCCAACACUUCGGAUGGUCUGGCAGCGGUUAAGCUCUCACUAGCCACAGCAAACUCAGCAAAUCCACCUCCAUACUGCCAUUCAGCAUAAACAACACAUACAAUGGUUAUCAGAUAGUUAACUGAGUAAAUCAUAAAUAAUAACAUGCCAGUUAGGUUCUGUCUAAUCUUGGAACAUGAUUGUGUUGUUGUCAUAUCAGUUGGUGCUCGAGAUUUAGCUGCAGAAACAGCCCUUCCAUUGACAGGGGGCUCCAUACAUAAGAGCAUAAGACCCUCCCCCAAAGCCCACAAUGGCAGGAGCCUGGAGCAUACUGCCCAAGUAAUUGACUAAAUCUAAUGCACACUCAAGUAAAGCAUAUGGUUGUCCUUUGGUAGUUAUAAAUUUAUUACCGAUAGAGGGUAUGAAAUCAAUAUCUAUGACAAAUAUUCCUUGGUUUUUCAGAUCACCAAAGAGUAAGGAGAAUUCCAAUUCAACCCUUUGAUUGAAAACUGAAUUUGUGCUGCAAUUUGCAUUUGAAAGAUGAUUUUAUUCUUCCUCUAUUUAAAAAGUUUUGCUUCUUGUCCACAAUAAUCUAGAUUUAGCCAAGGUUAGAAUUGUACCCCCAACCCAAAGGUAGUCAAACAUCAUUUUAAGUUGAAAAACAGUAGGAAAGGGAAAGAAGAAGAAGAAUAAAAGUACUUGAUGAGUGAGUUUAGCAACAACUUUGUCACCAACUUUAAAAUCUUUGACUUGUGGUCCAACCUCUACUACCUCUCCUGCAACAUCAGUGCCUGUUCCAGAAAUGGUUAUAUUAUUAUAAAGCAAGAGGAUGGGAUGUAAUUAUAACAUAAAUCAAUUGGAAUUGGAAUUGGAAUUGGAAUUGGAAUUGAGGGAUUAACUUACAAGGAAUAUGGGGAAACUGACGAGGUAAGAAUAAAGGGCGCAGAAGACCUUUCUGAAUCUUCCAAUCAACGGGGUUAAUGGUAAUUGCAUCCAAUUUCAGCAAAACCUCAUUUUUAUUUGGACUGGGAACAGGAACUUCAACAUGCUGCUUAUAUAAGAUCAAAAUUAACUAUUUUCAAUCAAAGCAAGUAACAUCUAAAUCAUAUUAUAAAAGAUUAAAAUAAGAUCCGCUUGUCUUGAUUCUGAAUUAUGUUGCAAAGAAGGAAGAAGCAAUAACCUAAAAUCCUAUUUAUUUAUGUUGUAGAAUUGUGAGUUGAGAAAGAAUGAAAGAGAAUAAUAAUAAAGAAAUAAAAAGGAGAGUGAAACCUUCAAGGAUGCGGAACCACCACCGUAGGAAUCGUAGUGAAGAGCUUGCAUCAACUUCCUCGACAUAUCUGAUGAUAUGAUAUCAAUCGUUUCAACACUUCCUCCUCAAUCUCUUAUAUAUAUAGUAUAGACACAUGGAGUCAGAAUAAUAAAUAUUAAUUUUCAUUUCUUACUUUAACAAUCAAGAUAAAUAAAUGACUUUUUCCCACUAUAUUUGGUAAAUGCGAUGCAAAUUAUGUAUAUAUUAUUUACGAAAUUAAUUUUACUUCCAUGCUACUAUCAAAUAAAUAUUAUCAUAAAAUAUUUAAAAAAAUGAGUAUAAAAAAGUGUUCAAGCUCCCUAUUGUGAACUUUGGUAAUAACAAUGAAGUGGCUGAAUUGUAAUGCUUCCAUUGCAAGUGCUCCCUCCCGCUUAAGCGUCCUUAGUAGAGAGCAUUUUGGAUCUCUUGCGUCCAUACAAGAUUACACAAUAGAAGGAUUUUCUCCAUCUUAGGGUUGUUUCAUAUGCCUGACUUCUAUAGUCAUAAAUUACCAAUGUACAUAAACAGAAUCAAAAACAAAUUUACAAUCCUCUCUAUGUUUUGUUUCACCUUUGCUGCUUUGAAAAUCAUUAUAAUUUUGAAAGAUUAAAAAAUCAAUGAACGUAAUUUGUAAUAAAACUUACUGAUACCAUUUGACACAGACAGUCAAACCUAAUAAUGGAAUUAAGUAGCUAUCCUUGGCAGGUAUAAUUGGAGCUCCUUCUUAUAAGCCUUUCCCAUAAUCUCAUAUUUCUCAUUACUAUUGAAGACAAAUUCCUUUUUGUAGGAGUUGGAUUCACGCCGGAUAUUGUUCACAAGAUACUUUUAAAAGAUCCUUUUGAUCAAGUGAAUUUAUACCAAAUCCUUACAUAUAAAAGUCAAUGAAAUUGGGAUGAUGUAGUGAUGCCAUAUAAAAUUCUUGUCAAGUGCAUACAUCCCUUUCUCUUGAAUUUUUAUUCAAAAAUUGAUAUUUGUUAUUAUGUGAUGCAAAAACUGAAGAUGAAGUAAUAGAAAUUUUAUUGUUGUUGGUGAGAAUAUAGUUUGUGUAAUUUUUAGCAGUGGAGUUAAACGAGCAGGUAUUGUUGUUCCUUGAGACAGAUAUUCAACUAAAGUAUAUAAUGCGAAAUAGAUAUUGAAAUCUUAACGUUAAGAGUUUAUUGGCUUGGCUGAAAUUGGUGCACGUGGGGUGAGCCACAAGUAAGAGAGAAUGAUGUGAUGUAGCUAAUUAAUUAAAGCUAUAUGUAAGUAUGUCUUUUAUUUUUAUGGUUCAUUUGGUGUUACUUGCAAGCAACCUCAAUACAACUAGGUUAUUAAAAUGUGGUGUUGGAACAAUAACAUUCACAUAUGCGUGGUUUGGUGCUGCAAUGCAGUAGUUCACAGAACUUCACACUAGGAGAUUGAGAGUGGUAAGGAUUUGGUGUGUGAAUAUGGAUGGAGGGUCAGGAGACUUGUUCCCAACUCAUGAAAUUAGGAAUCUGAGCAAAUUCAAGCCCGAGCAUCCCACCUCCCGAGAAAGUGUACUAUAAUCUACAUACAUAGCAUGUGGUAACAGAUGAUAAUUCACCAUUUCUAACCGUUGAUUUUCUUUUCUGAAAUUAGACUUCUCACCUUGAAUUUCACUUUCUUCUCAAGUUCUUAACCCCUUUCUAGAAAACAAAACUUGGUAGGAGACAAGACAAGUAAUCCAAUACAGCAUCCUUAUGUUAUCAUUUACAAACCAUCAAGAGAAUAUCAACAAACAUGUACUUCAAUCCUUUCAGCAUAUGAUAUGCCUACUUAUUCAUUUAUAUAUGAGCUUACAGAAAACAUUGCACAAUAAGAUAGGAAUACAGCAAACCAAGCAAACUGUGAUUACGGUUCCACAAUGAUUUUUCCAGUAGCAUGGCCGUCAAUGCUCUUAGCCCAAGCAUCUUCAGCUUUGCUCAAAGGAAACUUAGAGUCAAUAACAGUCUUCAGCUUCCCAUCCUUCACUAACUGAACUAGAUAUUCCAGGCCCUCACGCUUGACUGUUACGAAAAAUGGCACCAGCUGCUUCUUUGAAAAGGUAAGUUUCUUCAGGGCGAAAGUCGUCAAUGAACUCAGACUAGGCGUCAAAUCAACUACCUUUCCAUUUUCAGUCAAAUUAGGGUCAAAAGUUGACCAUGGUAUUCCGGUUGUACAAUGUAUCACUGCAUCGUAUUUCCUACCAGA
RNAcentral lists this long non-coding RNA (3979 nucleotides) under Lupinus angustifolius (narrow-leaved blue lupine). Its description in RNAcentral is "long non-coding RNA (LANG_LNC001161)". Lineage: Eukaryota; Viridiplantae; Streptophyta; Magnoliopsida; Fabales; Fabaceae. The record is from RNAcentral.